UGUGUUUGUGUCUGACUGUGUGUGUGUGUGUGUGUGUUUGUGUCUGACUGUGUGUGUGUUUGUGUCUGACUGUGUGUGUGUGUGUGUGUGUGUGUGUGUGUGUGUUUAUGUCUGACUGUAUGUGUGUGUUUGUGUCUGACUGUGUGUGUGUGUGUGUGUGUUUGUGUCUGACUGUGUGUGUGUGUUUGUGUCUGACUGUGUUUGUGUCUGUGUAUGU
This is a non-coding RNA of Pelobates cultripes (western spadefoot toad), 217 nucleotides long. The record is from the annotation of a GenBank genome assembly. NCBI's taxonomy places the organism in Eukaryota, Metazoa, Chordata, Amphibia, Anura, Pelobatidae.